CAGCUGUGCCGGGCUGACGUUUCCUUAGGUAACUGUGAUGAUUCAGGCGAUGACUAUCAUGGUUCAGUUCAGGGAAAAGGGCUCAGCCCCUUGGCCGAGCAGAGGUAUGUGCAAACAUUGCUUAGGUAAGUUAUUUCUGAGUGUUGGACUCUGCUCUCCGUUCCCAUCUCCCAGGCUCAAGAAACUUGGGGUUGGGGAUGACUGUCACUGCUGGGAGGGACAGCUGGUGGUUUUCUCAGGUAGCCUGGGCUCUGGGGAAGGGAAAGGGCACAAGGUCUUUAGGGGUCAGGGCACUUUUAAGUAGGGCUGAUUCUAUUGCUUGAGUUUCGUCCCAGGAAAAAGGUUCUUAGUCAUAGGAAAGCUUUAAAAUCAAACAGAUGCAUCAGCUAUGAGCCAGCGAACUCGUAAGUGUGCCGCUGCUGUGCUAUUGUUUGUAUUUUUAAAAGCAGGGACUCGUGUAACCCAGGCUUGAGAUAAAGCCAAGGUUGGCCUUGAACUCCUGAUCCUCAUGCCUCCACUUCCCAAGUACUAGAAUCAAUUCAAGCUCCUUCUUGAAACCCCAGUUUUGUUGUUUUGUUUUUCUCAUCUAAGAAGGGAUAAAAAUACUAUUUAUAGUUACUUCGAAGAUAAACGAUCUAGUUCUCAGAAACCUUCACAGAGGGCAUGGCUCAAAGAUGCUAGCCUGCUGGGGACUUCGUGACAAGAGUGACUAGGAACACCCUCUACCCCACCCUUUACUGGAAAGAGCGGUUCACGUAGUUCUAAUUGUAAGGUAGAUGGGUCCUCUCCGCCUGCAAGAAAUAACACUUCAUUCAUUCAGUAAAUAUUGACUGAACACUUGCUGUGUGCCAGACAUUGUCCAAGCAGCACAGGGGAUGACAGUGAACCAGACAGUGUCUGUCCUCAGAGUAUGGAUGUAUGUGCAGGACAAGGGGGUAAGGCUUGGGGCAGGAACAGAUAACAAGAGAAAAACAUAAUAAUCGAACUUAGGGCUGGGGCUGCAGCUUGUAGCAGAUCAUUUGCCUACCCCAUGUAAUACCCUGAGUUCUAGCUACUCCCCUGGAAAACAGAGAUGGAUGCUGUGAAACCACAGAGGAGAGCCAUGCUCUGUGUGCUGUUUUGGGUCAUGCAAAUUAAGCUUUUCUAAGAAGGUAUUAAUGGAACUCUAUGGAUGGAGGAAAGACAAGAGCAAUGAAAGACACGCAUUCAAGGGUUCCUUUGUAAAGAGUUAGGUCAGUGGGGCUGGGGAAGAUAUCUCAGGUAGUGAAGCCCUUGUCUUUAAUCAUGAGGCCCUGAACUCAGCCUCUAGAACUCAUGUUAAAAUGACUCUGCGGUUAAGAACACUGGCUGCUCUUCCAAAUGUUCUGAGUUCGAUUCCUAGCACCUACAUGGUGGCUUAGAACCAUCUGUGAUGGGAUCUGAUUCCCUCUUCUGGGUGUUUGGGAAGACAGAUCACUCAUAUACAUAAAGAGAAAUAAAUAUUUUUUAAAAGCCAGGGGAGUGAGUAAUCCCUGCUUUAGGGAGAUAAAGAUAGGUGAGACCUUGAGGUUCCCUAGCCCACCAGUUUAACCUUCUUUGUCUUCUGAUCCCCACUUGUGUAUGUCCCAUACACGUGUGCACCUGCACACACAGACAUAUUACUUCCCUGACAAACAGUUGGGGGUUACUAAUGUAGAGCCUACUUAAAAGGGAAAGUAGGGCGAUUGGAGAAGGGGGCAUUAGCAAAAUGAACCUCCUCUGUGGCCACACCCCUCUAAGUAACUUACACUGAAGGGUCUGAACAUUGUCUCUGGACUUGAGGCCAUGCUCCCAGGACAGUGACCUGAAUCCCUAAGCAGGUGACCCAUGGCUUGCAUAUACAUGGAGGGGGACCCAGGAUGCAGCAGAAAGCUGACUAUGGUGACUUGUGUAUUUUUUUUUAAUUAGACUGAUAGCAGGCAGCUGUCAUUGCUUUCUUAUUUUUAUUUAUUUAGUUUCUGCUCUCUGAUUAAAACUCUGGUGCUAUUUGCUGAUGCCAGGGGUCAACUUAUGUUCUGAAAACACAGCGGGGUCCAGCUGCUGACCUUGGAACCAGCUUGCUCAUAAGCUCGUGAGCAGGAUCAGUGGCAUCCGGGGCCAGCGGCUCCACUCGGCAGUGCUCCUGACUCCCGGUACCAGUUCAGAGCCCCGCUUAGGACCACGAUUCAAAGAAAGCCAUCUGCGUCUCCAAGUCAAUCCAGUUGUCCUAAAAACAGACCAAGAUUUCCUUUCAGAGAAAGACUGAUGCUCACUCAAGCCUCUCAGUGCAAUAAUAUUCUUGGGGGGCGGGGUGUGUGUGCAAAUAUUGAAACAAAACCCAGAUGAUAGUUAGGGUUUGUAUGACAGGUGACAGGUAUUCUGACCAGUCAGAUCCAUGCUCCAGUUCCAUGGAUCGUGUGGACAGAAGGAAGAUAAAUAGAAGGAUGCCUCCCAGCCCCAGGAGCAGGCACAUCUUUGACCCAAGAAACCCAGACAGGCUGGAUGAGGUUGAGAAUUCAGAGUUAGGUAAACCAGAGAUAAUGAAGUCAGCCACUAAAGUGCUUGCUGUGCUAGCAUGAAGACUUGAAUUCAGUUCCCCAGAACUCAUGUAAGACAAAAACCCAGUCUCAAUGGUGUGUAUUUGCAAUCCGAGGACUGGGGAGGCAGAGAUAGGUAGGUCCCUGGGGGAAUCACUGGUCAGCUACCCUAGCCUACUUGGUGAGCCUCAGGCCAAUGAAAGACUCCAUCUCAAAAGGCGAGGUGAAUGGUGUCUGAGGCGUAGCACCUAGGGUUGUCCUCUGGUCUACACACACAUGCACAUGUGUGAACAGGAACAAAGGUGAGCACAUACAUGCAUUUGCUUACACACGUGCAACUGCACACAUGUGCUCUCACACAGGGGGAGGGAAGAGGGAGAGAAUGAACCCCCAUAAAACAAAAGACAAUGGAUAAACCAUUGGUCAAAUACUUACCAAGGGCCAUAACACAUCAACUUUCAGGUUGGAGACAUGGUUUAGUGGUCAGGAGUAUGGCCUGAUCUUCCAGAAGACCAGGUUAAAUUUGUAGCACCUACAUGGUGUGUGGCUUACAACCAUCUGUAACUCCGUUCCAGGUCAUCCAAAACUCUCUUCUGGCUCCUGUGGCACCAGGUAUACAUGAAGUACACAGAUAUAGAUUAUAGGCAAAAUAUCCUGCUUAUGGAUUAUUUUAUGUGUAUUAAAAAUAAUUUUUUAAGCUAAAAAAAUAAAACAAACCAAAACAACAAUGACAACCAACUUUCCCCAGGGUUUAACUCCCUGAACCCAACUGUACAUUGUCUUCCUUUGUCCUCCACUCAUCCAGGAGUUCGAUGGCAAAGGUCGGUUUUGAUUGUCAACUCACUUGGAUGAAGAAACACCAAGGGCACAGCAAGUAUAGCUUUGUGUGUACCUGUCCAUGAGGGUCUUUGAAGAGAGGUUUAUCUGAGGAUGGAAGACCCACCCUUACGGUGGACAGUCUUGAAUCUCCUGGGCUAAGUGAAAAAGGAAGAUAGAAAAAAGCCAGCCCAACACUGACAUUCCCCUUCCUCUGAUUCCUGGUUAGAGACAGGAUCCAAGCCGCCGUCAUGCUUCCCCACCAUGGCCAACUGUGUUCCUCUGAACUGUGAGUCAGUCUGUUUUGCCCAGCAACGAGAAAAGUCACGGAUGCACACAUUUCUGAGGCCUGUGCUGCUUUUCCUUUCUUUUUCCUGGGUCUUCCUGAGAGCUUUCCCUUCUGAAUAACACUUGCCUAAUGCUUAUUUAUUUAUAUUUUAUGUUUAUGAGGGUUUGUCUGCAUGUAUGUAUGUGCACCUUGUGUGUGCCUGGUACCUGAAGAGGCUAGACGACGGCGUCAGAACUAGAGUGACAGAUGGUUGGGAGCUGCCAUGUGGGUGUUGGGAAUCAAAUCUGGGCGCUCUGGAAGAACCGCUCCUAACUACUGAGCCAGGGCGCAUUUAUUUAUUUCGGGCACAGAUCGGGAGUCACUAAGCACUAGAUGCCCCCCAUUCCCUUCAAGGGCUUCCUCUGGCACGCACUGAGGGCCUUGGCUGGAGCUUCGUUCCCACACUUCCUUCCCACACUCCCCCUCUGGAUCCCUGAAAAAUGUUAGGUUAAAAUAUCUCACUUCCUAAGUCUGUCUGUGGACUUCCUGAUGUUGCUGUCCGUCCCAGUGCUAAUUCUGCCACAUGAUCUCUUUGAUGUCUGGGGACUCUCACAGUAGCUAACAGACACUAUUUUCCCAGCACAGACCCAUGUUUCUCAGGCCCUAUGCCUGGGAGUGACAGCCAGACCUGUGGGUCAUAGGGUGAGGGACAAAAGGUUACAGGUCUGUUUGCUCUGUCAUCAGUGAAUGGCCACCGGGCAAAGCAAAUGAGUCAGGAGAUGAGGCUUCUACCCCUGAAGAGGGUGGUACCCAAGUCAUUCAACAAAUAUGAAACAUCUAGGGGGCGUGGGGUUCUGGACCGAGUACUGAGUAGCCUUGCCGCUGACUUGGGCGGCUAGCAAAUACACAUCUCUCAAUUGAGACCCACUCUGUGAUGCAGAUCAGGGGCCUGGCUCCUGGGGCUUGGAGCAAGGGCAAGGGCAGAGGAAAGGGGACACAGAGAUGGAGCUAGAGAAGAGAUCUACAGAUAAAAGAGUGCUCACAAAACAUCCAAGAUGUGAAUUUGGUCAUGCAGUCAAUUCUCCCGAACAGCCGAGGAACACCCCCUCCCAAAGGAAACGGAUUUAGAAGCUUCCAGUUAUGAGGGAGAGAGCAAGCCACAGCAGCAAGGUGAAGGGUUUGGCUCCAGAUCAUUCAUUCAGCCAGAGACUGAGUGGAGUUCAGGACUCUCUUAAUCCCUUCAGACAUUGUCUCGGGUAUGAAAACUGGAACCAGGAAAGCUAAGUAGGUUGGGUUUCCUGGGCAGGGAAGGACUCGUGGAUGGGGACACAAAUCAAAGGAGAGAGUGGCCAUCUGGUGUCACAGUCGUACUCGGAGCUCUUUCUUCUCCCUGCCCUUGGCCUGCUCGACGUCCUGUCUUAUCUCCCUUUUGUUUCUCUAUCUUCCUCCUCUGGUGUGCGCACGGAGCCGGCGUCUUUCCUCUUGAAUCAUUUGGUUUUCUAUUGAGUUUUGUUCCGUCAUCGAUAUGGCAGAUGGAAUGGCGGGGCCACUGUGAAGAGUUAAAAUGAGCCCGGAGGUGCGGCCUCUAUGAAGAAGGUGGUGCCCAAGCGGAAGCGCGUCAUGCCACAAAUACGAAAUGGUGAGGAUGCACGGAGUGGUCCUGCCUUGCCGCUCAGCCGGGAUUGAUGGUGUGAGGGCCAUGGAGAGAGGAGGGCAUCACCAUGGGAGGCUGUGAGGAGACAGAGCCUGAUCACCCGAACCCUCAGUUUGCUCAGUUCAUCUCUUCACUGCAAACGAAGACAGGAGAUCUGCUCACCCUCUCAGUCUCUCUGCCGAGAGACAGGCCACUUGGGAAGAAGAAAGACCCUCAGGCAGGGCUGUAAAUAGCUCUGGAAUCUGCCCUGACAGGUUGAUCCUGUGUGGACCAGCGCAGGGGCAGCCGGCCUCUGUUCCUCCUCAUGGAUUUACUGCUGCCUGUCGGACAGCUCUGAUGGCCAGAGUGCACCCUGAAGACUCCUUUGAAGUAAAGCAAGCACUUUUAAGUGCAAUCAGCUCCAGAUAACCCGGAUUCCCAGGAAUGCCUUCCCCCUCUCCAAGCCCAACCUUGGAAUCAUCCCUGACUGUCCUGGAAGUGGCUCCUAGCCUUUAGAGUCUCCGUUUGCUUUGUGGCGGCUGUGUGUUGGUUCACACCAUUCUCCUGAGCAGAGGUUGAGGGGGAUAGGUACGGUUCUAGACGACAGUCUGUGAUCAGAGUUACAGGGCAAUCCGAGGGCUGGCAAGGGAGGGAAAGACACAAAGAAAUGCCAGAAAACUCAGAAGUAGGAGUAGAGGGAAGUGUGUGACCAGGCUAGGACAUAAGGAACCAGCUCCAAUUUCCCCAACGCUUGGGGUAGUCUGAGGCUGAGGAGGCCGGAAAUCAAAGGCCUUCUGGAUGCCACAGUGGAAAUGGAAGAGGCUGUGAUAGGUGCUAGGUGCUUGGUUGAUGUCCUCACAUUAAUGCUUUCUGCAUCCAGUCAGUUCCCAUCCUGCUGUCUGUUACCACAGGCUUGCCCACUUUGGGUGUCUUGUUUAACUUGCUCAGACAGCAUUUCCUCCUGAGUGACAGCUUUUUUUUUUUUUUUUUUUUAAACUUGGCACCAUGUUCCUAAGGGCUGUCCAUACGGUGCAUGGGUCAGAGUCUCCUGAUUUUGUGAGGAGCCCACUGUGUGGAAACAGCACGUCCUCCUUCCUCCAGCCAUCCAUGGAGGGCACGAUCUGCUGAGUGCUUGUCUGAUCCCGCUAAAAGGUGAGGAUGUUUUCAUGUCUAAGAGACCCCUGGACUUGGCUCUCUCAUCGCCCUGACUUGCCAUGAUCUGGAGUUGCAACUAACGCUCUGUAUUCCUGCCGUGUUUACUACUUCUGAACAAAGGAUUUAGCUGUGAGCCUACCUUUGAUGAGCUUCUCAAAAUGAAAAUGUGAUAAGAACCACAGGUUUUAUAGUUAAAAAUAAACAAAAAUGAAAAAUCUUUUAAGG
This is a non-coding RNA of Rattus norvegicus (Norway rat), 6631 nucleotides long. The record is from RefSeq and is a predicted model, not a curated record. Lineage: Eukaryota; Metazoa; Chordata; Mammalia; Rodentia; Muridae.